Molecule: long non-coding RNA, 864 nt
Organism: Esox lucius (northern pike)
Lineage: Eukaryota; Metazoa; Chordata; Actinopteri; Esociformes; Esocidae
Source: Ensembl
UGGGUGGGUUAUUUCAGACCUCAGGGCCGGGGAUUAAGCGACCGUGAGCAGUCCCAAUACGAUGACAGCAUCCAGCCUAAACCUAACCUCCACGCACCACACCGUCCGAGACAAGGAUUUUACCUAUUCUGUCAAGAUAUUCCGUUCGCUUUCUUUUUUCAGUCAGUUCAUUGCACCCUCAAGGUCCACACUCCAGGUCCGUCUCUUUCUUUAGAACACGAGGUGACUACUGGCAUUACACGUUCUGAUUGGGCCUGAUGAUCACUAGGGCCCUCCUCCACCUCUUUUCGGCCAAUCCCGAUGGGGUUCUGGAGCUGAUGUCACAGAGGGCGGAAGGGUUUUCAUGUUCGGGAGUCCAGAAGAGACAAGCCAUACCACGUUAAAUGGAGGAGAAGGAGAGAAGUAGGAGUCGUUCUCUGUCUCGAAGCCGGGUUCAACAGGUGGUGGGGACGCUGAUCAGACGCACCCGAGAAUCCCUCAGCAGAGAACGUAUCCUUGGUGAUGGGAGGUCGAACCGGUCGGGGAGUGUUUCCAGUCAGAACUUCCCCGUGAGGCUGACUGUUCAGGUCGUGAGAGACCCGGUGCUGGACUCCAGUGGGCAUGGGUUCACCCUCUCCAAACAGCACCCCCUGCUGGUCAGGGAUGUGGCUACAGGUACACUGUGGGUGUGUGUGUGUGUGUGUGGGUGUGUGUGUAUGUGGUUGUGUGUGUGGGUGGGUCUGUGGUGUAUGUGUGUGGGAGUGUGUGUGGGUGGGUCUGUGGUGUAUGUGUGUGGGAGUGUGUGUGGGUGGGUCUGUGGUGUAUGUGUGUGGGAGUGUGUGUGGGUGGGUGGUGUAUGUGUGUGGGUGUGUGUGUGUGUGUGUG